UGCACCUGAGGAUACUGAAAUCCAACC
This 27-nucleotide non-coding RNA is filed under the name Cricetulus griseus (Chinese hamster). The record is from RNAcentral. Lineage: Eukaryota; Metazoa; Chordata; Mammalia; Rodentia; Cricetidae.